RNAcentral lists this ribosomal RNA (447 nucleotides) under uncultured bacterium. RNAcentral describes it as "bacterial SSU rRNA". It matches the Rfam family "Bacterial small subunit ribosomal RNA", at positions 355 to 825 of the family's 1533-position model. The record is from RNAcentral.
UCGGGAAUUUUGGGCAAUGGGCGAAAGCCUGACCCAGCAACGCCGCGUGAAGGAUGAAGUAUUUCGGUAUGUAAACUUCGAAAGAAUAGGAAGAAUAAAUGACGGUACUAUUUAUAAGGUCCGGCUAACUACGCGCCAGCAGCCGCGGUAAUACGAAGGGGGCUAGCGUUGUUCGGAAUUACUGGGCGUAAAGCGCACGUAGGCGGAUUGUUAAGUCAGAGGUGAAAUCCCGGAGCUCAACUUCGGAACUGCCUUUGAUACUGGCAAUCUAGAGUCCGGAAGAGGUUAGUGGAAUUCCCAGUGUAGAGGUGAAAUUCGUAGAUAUUGGGAAGAACACCAGUGGCGAAGGCGGCUAACUGGUCCGGUACUGACGCUGAGGUGCGAAAGCGUGGGGAGCAAACAGGAUUAGAUACCCUUGUAGUCCCUGAGCGGGCUGGCAAGGCGCAU